CGUACACUCCUACGGGAGGCAGCAGUGGGGAAUAUUGCACAAUGGGCGCAAGCCUGAUGCAGCCAUGCCGCGUGUAUGAAGAAGGCCUUCGGGUUGUAAAGUACUUUCAGCGGGGAGGAAGGCAAUACGGUUAAUAACCGUGUUGAUUGACGUUACCCGCAGAAGAAGCACCGGCUAACUCCGUGCCAGCAGCCGCGGUAAUACGGAGGGUGCAAGCGUUAAUCGGAAUUACUGGGCGUAAAGCGCACGCAGGCGGUCUGUCAAGUCGGAUGUGAAAUCCCCGGGCUCAACCUGGGAACUGCAUUCGAAACUGGCAGGCUUGAGUCUUGUAGAGGGGGGUAGAAUUCCAGGUGUAGCGGUGAAAUGCGUAGAGAUCUGGAGGAAUACCGGUGGCGAAGGCGGCCCCCUGGACAAAGACUGACGCUCAGGUGCGAAAGCGUGGGGAGCAAACAGGAUUAGAAACCCGUGUAGUCC
RNAcentral lists this ribosomal RNA (474 nucleotides) under uncultured organism. Its description in RNAcentral is "partial 16S ribosomal RNA". It matches the Rfam family "Bacterial small subunit ribosomal RNA", at positions 330 to 796 of the family's 1533-position model. The record is from RNAcentral.